Molecule: ribosomal RNA, 565 nt
Filed under: Salmonella enterica subsp. enterica serovar Stanleyville
Lineage: Bacteria; Pseudomonadati; Pseudomonadota; Gammaproteobacteria; Enterobacterales; Enterobacteriaceae
Description: partial 23S ribosomal RNA
Rfam family: Bacterial large subunit ribosomal RNA
Source: RNAcentral
CAAGGUUAACCGCAUAGGGGAGCCGGAGGGAAACCGAGUCUUAAUUGGGCGUUAAGUUGCAGGGUAUAGACCCGAAACCCGGUGAUCUAGCCAUGGGCAGGUUGAAGGUUGGGUAACACUAACUGGAGGACCGAACCGACUAAUGUUGAAAAAUUAGCGGAUGACCUGUGGCUGGGGGUGAAAGGCCAAUCAAACCGGGAGAUAGCUGGUUCUCCCCGAAAGCUAUUUAGGUAGCGCCUCGUGAAUUCAUCUCCGGGGGUAGAGCACUGUUUCGGCUAGGGGGCCAUCCCGGCUUACCAACCCGAUGCAAACUGCGAAUACCGGAGAAUGUUAUCACGGGAGACACACGGCGGGUGCUAACGUCCGUCGUGAAGAGGGAAACAACCCAGACCGCCAGCUAAGGUCCCAAAGUCAUGGUUAAGUGGGAAACGAUGUGGGAAGGCCCAGACAGCCAGGAUGUUGGCUUAGAAGCAGCCAUCAUUUAAAGAAAGCGUAAUAGCUCACUGGUCGAGUCGGCCUGCGCGGAAGAUGUAACGGGGCUAAACCAUGCACCGAAGCUGCGGCA